This 253-nucleotide ribosomal RNA is filed under the name uncultured bacterium. RNAcentral describes it as "partial 16S ribosomal RNA". It matches the Rfam family "Bacterial small subunit ribosomal RNA", at positions 524 to 776 of the family's 1533-position model. The record is from RNAcentral.
UACGUAGGGAACAAGCGUUGUCCGGAAUCAUUGGGCGUAAAGCGCGCGUAGGCGGCCCGAUAAGUCCGCUGUGAAAGUCAACGGCUCAACUGUUGGAUGCCGGUGGAUACUGUCGGGCUAGAGUACGGAAGAGGCAAGUGGAAUUCCUGGUGUAGCGGUGGAAUGCGCAGAUAUCAGGAGGAACACCUAUAGCGAAGGCAGCUCGCUGGGACGGUACUGACGCUAAGGCGCGAAAGCGUGGGGAGCGAACAGG